GGAGGAAGUUUUGGUCUUGGACUGUAAGUAAUUGUAAGGGGGUUUUUACAUAGGUUCUGAUGGUAUGAAGAUAAGUUCCAUGAUAAAAUUUAUUGUAGAAGUCUUAGUGAUGAAACUUGGUUAUGUUGCUGUAAGGCUUACCAGAGCCCCUUAGUUAGAAAGUUAAUAUAAGUGCCAGCAGCUGCGGUUAUACUUAUUUAAAGAUUUCGAAGUUAGAAGAAAGUAGGUGAAAGUUUAAGCUAGGUUCCGCUCGGUUAGGUUUAAUUAGUGUGAAAGGUGCUGGUUACAUUGUAUUAAGAGAAGGAGAGGCAAAAAUUAGAUUAGAUACCUAAGUAUUCUUUUUAAAAGUUUAAGGGCUCUAAGCGAUCCUAAAAGACUUGGCGGUUACUCAACCCGGUCAGAGGAACAUGGGUGAGAAGGGAUAUGCCCCCCAUUAAUUCUCCUUAGUUUAAAAGUAGGUGUAUAUCCACGACAGAUUCGUCUUUGAGGAGUUAGGAGGUUUCUGAGGAAGGUUUCAUUAAAGUAGGUCAAUAUGCUGUUUAAUAUUAAGGAACACUUGUGUUACUGAAUUAAUUAUAGAUUGAUAUUUUGGGCAGCUGUGGUUGUUUAAGUUCUGUAAGGAAGAUUAAAAAAGGAUUUGAAAGUAAUGUUUAAUUAGUUAGUAGACAUGAAAUGGUUAUGAGUUUCGUACACAUCGCCCGUCGCCCUUUUGUAGCACAUUAGGUAAGUCGUAACAUGGUAAUUGUUCCGGAAGGAGCAGUUA
Molecule: ribosomal RNA, 763 nt
Filed under: Syndesmis echinorum
Lineage: Eukaryota; Metazoa; Platyhelminthes; Rhabdocoela; Umagillidae
Description: 12S ribosomal RNA
Rfam family: Microsporidia small subunit ribosomal RNA (bases 354-763)
Source: RNAcentral